ACCUCCCCGGAAGCUGAGGGAGCCGGCUCCGGCCUUGGCCAGCCCAGCAAGGCGCUCCCACAGUGCAACGGCGGGCUGAAGGGGCUCCUCAAGUGCCGCCAAAGCGGGAGCCCAGGCAGAGGAGACGCCCAGAGCCAGCGAGGGCUGUGAGGACUGCCAGCACACUGUCACCUCUCAGUAACAUGUUGUAGAGGCUGGGAAGUCCAAGGUCAUGGUGCCAACAGACUUGGUGUCUGGAGAGGGCUGCUCUCUGCUUCCAACAUGGUGUCUUCUCGCAGUGUCAUGUCCUCCUGACGGAAGGAAUGCUGUGUCUCACAUGGUGACAGGAAUUGAAGGACAAAAAUGGCUGAACACUUUGUGAAGCCUCAUUUAUAAAUGUCUUAAUCUCAUUCGUGAGGACUCUACCCUCAUGAAAACUUAAUCACUUCCUAAAGGACUUGCCUCUUAAUACUAUCACAUUAUCAAUUAAGUUUCAACACAUGACUUGAGGGACAUUCAGACCAUAGUACUUCCCUAGUUAGGAGACUAAACAAAGACAGGAGCAAGAAGAGGAGUCUCAUUUGCAGAAGAAAUGUCUGUUUCUCACUUGGCAUUGCAUAAGACUUAUCUGAGAGUGCCCAAUGUCACACAUCUAUGGUAAGAAGAGAAGAUACUGAUCAGAAGGGCCUGGAGGCUUUAUGAAGCAACAGUCUGAAAAGUCCUUGCAGGAAAUAGGCAAGGCUAUCCUGGAAGGACUCCUAGAUACAUGGCCUGGAUACAGCAAGAGGUGAAUGUCCUGGGUGCCUACAGCAGAGGCACACUUGGUAGUGUAGGCCUGCUAUCAACCCUACACCCUUGAAUCCUACAGACCAUUGGCAUGACAGCAGACAGAUCACUGGCAGGCAAGAUUUGAUGGAAGAACCAUGUAUCCGCCGCAAACGCAAGACUCAUCCGAGGAGCACUAGUAGCCUAGAGCCCUGAAUUCAUCCUGUGCCUGAUGUGAAAGUCACCCAAAAUCAACAUUUCUGUACCAUUCUGGUGGCCCAAUCUCAUAUAAUCACUUGAAAGGAAUAGCACACUGACUAAUCAAAGCCAUCAGCUCAUCAGCCACUGUUCCGGAAUCGAGGUCCACCCAUGGACUCCCAGAAGAACCCCUUAAGUAUUAGUACUGGAACUCCUCUAUGCACUUGAUCCACAUAAAGUACGUGUGUGUGGGCAGGGAGGGCUUGUAGAGGAUCAGAAAGUGCCUUACAGGAGAGAAACAGAGACCAAGACUAGGGAACCCUUUCUGCUGGAGGGGCAUCUAGACAUUUUGAAGAAACACACGAAAGAAUAGAGCCCCUGAGGUCACAUCCAGAUUUCAGUUUCUCUUCGGGAGUCUAAGAGACUGUUGUGAGCCCAGAUUUUCACAUUUUCUUCCUCUGGCUGAAAUGGUUGGAUUUAGACAGUGUGGAGGCAAACUUACUGUAUGGAUUAAUAACUUUUGUGCAAGUAACAGAUAUUUGUCUAGCCUUCCUUAAGUCAAAUAAGAAUGUAUCAUAAGAGUGUAGAGAUAUCUAAUAAAAAUCCAAGGGCAGAAA
Long non-coding RNA from Homo sapiens (human), 1559 nucleotides. The record is from Ensembl. NCBI's taxonomy places the organism in Eukaryota, Metazoa, Chordata, Mammalia, Primates, Hominidae.